ACAUAUAAUUAUUUAUUGUUUCACCUUUUGUGAAUAUAAACAACUCCGUCUCUUUGAAUAGUCAUCUUCGUCAAAACCUCUAGUGGUACCGCUUAACAAUAUAUAUGUUGACUUACACCAAUUAAAUGUAAAAAAUCUGCACGAAAAAAUAAAAAAGAACUCUACUAAAUCUCAAGACAAGACAUAUUUAACAGAGUUCUCGGAAUCCAAAUUAAAGCACAGGUCAAAACGAUUUAUAACAGUCACCAAAAUCCAUAAAAAAAAGCCAAGUCGUCGGGAAAGAUCAACGCAAAAAAACACCAUGAAGAAAGCAGAAAAAAUAAAACCGUUUCGUCUACAAAAUUAAACAAAAUGUCACAAGCCGCACGAGGUUAUAAUUUUUUUUUUAAUAACUGGCUUAAGAUUACCUCAGAAUCCGGCUGGUCAACGUGCCUUAAAGCGCCAUCUAUUGAGCAAAUAGUGAACCAAGAAGGCAUAUGCAAUUUGUACUGAGGUCGUAAUGUACAGACUGAAUACACCCUGCCAGCACCUAAAGCAUGAGACCGGAGUCAUAGAUUAAAUAAUUAAUGGAUCACAACACGUUGUUUCGUUCUGCGGUUCAAUGCGGCCAAAGAAAUAAUAUAAACUUUAAAAUUUACUUUUUUCAUAAUCUGUGCUCUUUGCUGAUCAGUGAUCUGUGAUCUCUUUCUCUGUGUCUGUGGUGAUUGUGCAAAAGCAAAAACAAACAAAGCGAAGCACCUAAUAAAUUAUCAUUUGAAAUUGGUAUUGUAAUUAGUAAAAACCUGAAGGCUGAAAUUAAAUCUCAAAUAUUAAUACGUAGAAAUGUUUUACAAAGUGUUUGUUCUUAUAUUCUCGAUGCUAGCCGUCAGCAGAGUCGAAGCAGCACAUAGCUAUGACUUUGGAGACUUUUUAGCAACAGUUUUGGGCAUUGGAAUCGCUGUAAUAGGUAUUCUAGCAUGCUUGGGUAAUUACGCAAGGCAGAAAGCAAGAAAUGAAUUCAUAUAGUGUUUCAUACAUGCUGUAUUAACUGAUUGAACAUCAUGGCUACGCUGGUUUCUUUAAUAAACUUGUGUCAUACCAUAAAAUUUUGUUAUAAUAUUAUACUUUAAUAUAGCACAUAUUUUUUUGUUACUAUUACAGUAAAACAUCUGUAUUAUUAAAGUUAACAAUAAAUGUAAAAUUCAUUCAGUUUUGACUGAUUUUUAA
Long non-coding RNA from Bicyclus anynana (squinting bush brown), 1206 nucleotides. RefSeq lists it as uncharacterized. The record is from RefSeq and is a predicted model, not a curated record. The transcript has 2 exons. NCBI's taxonomy places the organism in Eukaryota, Metazoa, Arthropoda, Insecta, Lepidoptera, Nymphalidae.